CUCAUCUUUCUUCUCUCUUAUUUUUCGUCGUACCUCCCAUACCAUCACCUUCUUCAUCGUCACAGAGAGGGAUACCACCACCAUGAAUCAUGAAUCCAAAAUAAUCACCAUACAGUUCUCAAUCAUCUUCUUCUUCUUUUAUUUUUUUAGUUCUUCUUCUGUUACUUCUUAUUUUUUCACAGGAUUCAAUAGGAGUAAGACGGAGGAAUUGGUGAAGAAUAAUUGAAGUUAGGAUUUGAAGAUUUGAAGCUCAAUAGGCGUGGAAGAAGACGAUGAUUCAAAGUAUUUGAAUGAUGAAAUUUACAGGGUCCUGGUAAUGAAAAUGAAAACUGAAUUAGAUCUGAAGAGGUGUUUUUUUGUGUGCAAUUUUGUGCAAUUUUUUUGAUUAUGUGUAAAUCUGAUUAGUAAGACUUUUGAUUAUAUGUAAAUCUGAAAAAAAAUGUCAGUAACUAUUUAGAUCUCAA
This is a long non-coding RNA of Papaver somniferum (opium poppy), 464 nucleotides long. RefSeq lists it as uncharacterized. The transcript is spliced from 2 exons. The record is from RefSeq and is a predicted model, not a curated record. Lineage: Eukaryota; Viridiplantae; Streptophyta; Magnoliopsida; Ranunculales; Papaveraceae.